This 497-nucleotide ribosomal RNA is filed under the name uncultured bacterium. RNAcentral describes it as "partial 16S ribosomal RNA". It matches the Rfam family "Bacterial small subunit ribosomal RNA", at positions 28 to 507 of the family's 1533-position model. The record is from RNAcentral.
GAUGAACGCUGGCGGCGUGCCUAAUACAUGCAAGUCGAGCGAACAGAUGAGGAUCUUGCUCCUCUGACGUUAGCGGCGGACGGGUGAGUAACACGUGGAUAACCUACCUAUAAGACUGGGAUAACUUCGGGAAACCGGAUCUAAUACCGGAUAAUAUAUUGAACCGCAUGGUUCAAUAGUGAAAGACGGUUUUGCUGUCACUUAUAGAUGGUUCCGCGUCGCAUUAGCUAGUUGGUAAGGUAACGGCUUACCAAGGCAACGAUGCGUAGCUGACCUGAGAGGAUGAUCAGCCACACUGGAACUGAGACACGGUCCAGACUCCUACGGGAGGCAGCAGUAGGGAAUAUUGGACAAUGGGCGAAAGCCUGACGGAGCAACGCCGCGUGAGUGAUGAAGGUCUUCGGAUCGUAAAGCUCUGUUAUUAGGGAAGAACAAAAGUAUAAGUAACUAUGCACGUCUUGACGGUACCUAAUCAGAAAGCCCCGGCUAACUACGUG